UUCCACAGCCAUAUCACCCUGCAGCCCAAGACCGGUUACUCACUGAAGCUAAGCAGGGCUGAGCCUGGUUAGUACCUGGAUGGGAGACCACUAGGGAACACUAGGUUGCUGUUGGAA
This 117-nucleotide ribosomal RNA is filed under the name Danio rerio (zebrafish). The record is from RNAcentral. Lineage: Eukaryota; Metazoa; Chordata; Actinopteri; Cypriniformes; Danionidae.